RNAcentral lists this ribosomal RNA (208 nucleotides) under uncultured bacterium. RNAcentral's name for it is "partial 16S ribosomal RNA". It matches the Rfam family "Bacterial small subunit ribosomal RNA", at positions 568 to 774 of the family's 1533-position model. The record is from RNAcentral.
CUCGUAGGCGGCUCAGCAAGUCAGGUGUGAAACCUCCGGGCUCAACCCGGAGACGCCACCUGAUACUGCUGUGGCUAGAGUCCAGUAGGGGAGCGUGGAAUUCCCGGUGUAGCGGUGAAAUGCGCAGAUAUCGGGAGGAACACCAGUGGCGAAGGCGGCGCUCUGGGCUGGAACUGACGCUGAGGAGCGAAAGCGUGGGGAGCGAACA